AGCAGCCGCGGUAAUUCCAGCUCCAAUAGCGUACAUUAAAGUUGUUGCAGUUAAAAAGCUCGUAGUUGAAUUUCGGGAUUGACGUGAUGGUCAUGCCUUAAGGGGUAUGAACUGUUACAGUUGAUUUCUCACCUUCUGGAGAAACUUGAUGUCCUUUAUUGGGUGUCUUGCGGAUCCAGGACCUUUACCUUGAAAAAAUUAGAGUGUUUAAAGCAGGCAUUUUUGCUCGAAUACAUUAGCAUGGAAUAAUAGAAUAGGACGGCAUGGUUCUAUUUUGUUGGUUUCUAGGAUCACCGUAAUGAUUAAUAGGGAUAGUUGGGGGCAUUAGUAUUCAAUUGUCAGAGGUGAAAUUCUUGGAUUUAUUGAAGACUAACUACUGCGAAAGCAUUUGCCAAGGAUGUUUUCAUUAAUCAAGAACGAAAGUUAGGGGAUCGAAGACGAUCAGAUACCGUCGUAGUCUUAACCAUAAACUAUGCCGACUAGGAAUCAGACGAUGUUAAUUUUUAAUGACUCGUUUGG
This 519-nucleotide ribosomal RNA is filed under the name uncultured Entrophospora. RNAcentral's name for it is "SSU rRNA". It matches the Rfam family "Eukaryotic small subunit ribosomal RNA", at positions 569 to 1083 of the family's 1831-position model. Lineage: Eukaryota; Fungi; Glomeromycota; Glomeromycetes; Entrophosporales; Entrophosporaceae. The record is from RNAcentral.